RNAcentral lists this long non-coding RNA (241 nucleotides) under Elaeis guineensis (African oil palm). RNAcentral describes it as "long non-coding RNA (EGUI_LNC034348)". Lineage: Eukaryota; Viridiplantae; Streptophyta; Magnoliopsida; Arecales; Arecaceae. The record is from RNAcentral.
GGACUCCUACGAGAGCCGGGCUUCGUUCUCAAUUCCAACAGCUGCAAGCAGCCUUCGUCCGGACUCCUACGGGAGCCGAACUCCGCCGACAACGUCAGCUGCAAGCAGCCUUCGUCCGGACUCCUAUGGGAGCCGGACUCCGCCGACAACGUCAACCGCAAGCAGACUCCGUCCGGACUCCUACGGGAGCCGGACUCCGAUCGCUAUCGAGCUUCAGCCAGCAGAUCUGCACUCCCGGGCC